AGAGGUCACACCCGUUCCCAUACCGAACACGGAAGUUAAGCUCUUCAGCGCCGAUGGUAGUUGGGGGUUUCCCCCUGUGAGAGUAGGACGUCGCCAGUC
This 99-nucleotide ribosomal RNA is filed under the name Sporosarcina sp. JAI121. Lineage: Bacteria; Bacillati; Bacillota; Bacilli; Caryophanales; Caryophanaceae. RNAcentral also lists the same sequence under 1 other name. The record is from RNAcentral.